RNAcentral lists this ribosomal RNA (491 nucleotides) under uncultured bacterium. RNAcentral describes it as "partial 16S ribosomal RNA". It matches the Rfam family "Bacterial small subunit ribosomal RNA", at positions 28 to 507 of the family's 1533-position model. The record is from RNAcentral.
GAUGAACGCUGGCUACAGGCUUAACACAUGCAAGUCGAGGGGAAACGACGGGGAAGCUUGCUUCCCCGGGCGUCGACCGGCGCACGGGUGAGUAACGCGUAUCCAACGUGCCUCUGACUGAGGGAUAACCCGUCGAAAGUCGGCCUAAUACCUCAUGGCAUCGUCUGCGGGCAUCCAACGACGAUUAAAGAUUUCAUCGGUCAGAGAUGGGGAUGCGUCUGAUUAGCUUGUUGGCGGGGUAACGGCCCACCAAGGCGACGAUCAGUAGGGGUUCUGAGAGGAAGGUCCCCCACAUUGGAACUGAGACACGGUCCAAACUCCUACGGGAGGCAGCAGUGAGGAAUAUUGGUCAAUGGGCGAGAGCCUGAACCAGCCAAGUAGCGUGCAGGAUGACGGCCCUAUGGGUUGUAAACUGCUUUUAUGCGGGGAUAAAGUGAGGGACGUGUCCUUCAUUGCAGGUACCGCAUGAAUAAGGACCGGCUAAUUCCGUG